Molecule: non-coding RNA, 125 nt
Organism: Pongo abelii (Sumatran orangutan)
Lineage: Eukaryota; Metazoa; Chordata; Mammalia; Primates; Hominidae
Source: Rfam
GUCUACUGCCAUACCACCCUGAAGGCACCUGUUCUCUUCUGAUCUCGGAAGCUAAGCAGGGUCGGGCCUGGUUAGUACUUGGAUGGGAGAACUACAAUUUCAAAGACAAGGCUACGCUAAAGAUC